AGAAUCAACGCUGGCGGCGUGCCUCAGACAUGCAAGUCGAACGCGAAAGUCCCCUUCGGGGGGCAAGUAGAGUGGCGCACGGGUGAGUAACACGUAGGUAAUCUACCUUUGGAUGGGGAAUAACAACCGGAAACGGUUGCUAAUACCGCAUAAUGCAGCGGCACCUAAUGGUGACAGUUGUUAAAGCGGGGGAUCGAAAGACCUCGCGUCUGAAGAGGAGCCUGCGGCGGAUUAGCUAGUUGGUAAGGUAACGGCUUACCAAGGCGACGAUCCGUA
This 276-nucleotide ribosomal RNA is filed under the name uncultured soil bacterium. Its description in RNAcentral is "partial 16S ribosomal RNA". It matches the Rfam family "Bacterial small subunit ribosomal RNA", at positions 26 to 285 of the family's 1533-position model. The record is from RNAcentral.